Molecule: small nucleolar RNA, 145 nt
Organism: Mesocricetus auratus (golden hamster)
Lineage: Eukaryota; Metazoa; Chordata; Mammalia; Rodentia; Cricetidae
Source: Ensembl
UCCCCACUCACAACUCAAGAACCUCUGCUGUCUGUAGUGGCUAUUUAAACUAUUUAAAGAGUGGUGUGCACAGCAAAGGGGGUCUUACCUCCUUUGGACGUGGCUAUGAUGUGUCCCCCAGAGUGAAUCAGGAGGUUCUACAAUG